GACUGAGUGACUUUCACUUCAGCUAUGUUAUGGGAGAAAUAGAUCUUCGCUGGGGACUCACCAUGAGGAGGGGCAGCGUUUGGUUCACUAGCUUCUCCUUGUUGAUGAUGACCCUACUGGCACAACAACCUACAGUCAUUGUCUAGAUCAUCUGACAACUUGAUGGAAGCUAAGGAGUCUCUCCCCAGAAAAAGAUAUACUUUUAUUGAAGUAUAGUUGACUUACAGUGUUUCAGGUGGACAGCAAGGUAUUCAGUUGUACAUGUAUGUACACGUAUUAUUUUUCAGAUUAUUUUCUGUGAUAGGUUAUUACAAAAUAUUGACUGUAGUUCCCUGUGCUAUACAGUAAUUCUUUGUUGCUUCUUGUGUACUAGUUUUUUUAAAUUAUAAA
Long non-coding RNA from Odocoileus virginianus texanus, 390 nucleotides. RefSeq lists it as uncharacterized. The record is from RefSeq and is a predicted model, not a curated record. Lineage: Eukaryota; Metazoa; Chordata; Mammalia; Artiodactyla; Cervidae.